This 250-nucleotide non-coding RNA is filed under the name Columba livia (rock pigeon). Its description in RNAcentral is "Eukaryotic small subunit ribosomal RNA". It matches the Rfam family "Eukaryotic small subunit ribosomal RNA", at positions 434 to 682 of the family's 1831-position model. The record is from Rfam by way of RNAcentral. Lineage: Eukaryota; Metazoa; Chordata; Aves; Columbiformes; Columbidae.
GCGCAAAUUACCCACUCCCGACCCGGGGAGGUAGUGACGAAAAAUAACAAUACAGGACUCUUUCGAGGCCCUGUAAUUGGAAUGAGCGCACUUUAAAUCCUUGAGCGAGGAUCCAUUGGAGGGCAAGUCUGGUGCCAGCAGCCGCGGUAAUUCCAGCUCCAAUAGCGUAUCUUAAAGUUGCUGCAGUUAAAAAGCUCGUAGUUGGAUCUUGGGAUCGAGCUGGCGGUCCGCCGCGAGGCGAGCCACCGCC